Molecule: transfer RNA, 77 nt
Filed under: Ghiorsea sp.
Lineage: Bacteria; Pseudomonadati; Pseudomonadota; Candidatius Mariprofundia; Mariprofundales
Description: tRNA-Arg
Rfam family: tRNA
About the family: Transfer RNA (tRNA) molecules are approximately 80 nucleotides in length.
Source: RNAcentral
GCGCCCUUAGCUCAGCUGGAUAGAGUAGCAGCCUCCGAAGCUGCGGGCCAGUGGUUCGAAUCCACUAGGGCGCACCA